This 241-nucleotide ribosomal RNA is filed under the name uncultured bacterium. Its description in RNAcentral is "partial 16S ribosomal RNA". It matches the Rfam family "Bacterial small subunit ribosomal RNA", at positions 15 to 263 of the family's 1533-position model. The record is from RNAcentral.
GAUCCUGGCUCAGGACGAACGCUGGCGGCGUGCUUAACACAUGCAAGUCGAACGGGGCAUAGAGAUAUGCCUAGUGGCGGACGGGUGAGUAACACGUGAGCAAUCUAUCCUAUACAACGGGAUAACACAGAGAAAUUUGUGCUAAUACGGUAUAAGACCACAUUCCGGCAUCGGAGAGGGGUAAAAGCUGAGGCGGUAUAGGAGGAGCUCGCGGCCCAUUAGCUAGUUGGAGAGGUAACGG